RNAcentral lists this ribosomal RNA (530 nucleotides) under Colletotrichum sp. HBL3. Its description in RNAcentral is "eukaryotic LSU rRNA". The stretch from base 173 to 326 matches the Rfam family "5.8S ribosomal RNA". The record is from RNAcentral. Lineage: Eukaryota; Fungi; Ascomycota; Sordariomycetes; Glomerellales; Glomerellaceae.
CUGAGUUUACGCUCUACAACCCUUUGUGAACAUACCUAUAACUGUUGCUUCGGCGGGUAGGGUCUCCGCGACCCUCCCGGCCUCCCGCCUCCGGGCGGGUCGGCGCCCGCCGGAGGAUAACCAAACUCUGAUUUAACGACGUUUCUUCUGAGUGGUACAAGCAAAUAAUCAAAACUUUUAACAACGGAUCUCUUGGUUCUGGCAUCGAUGAAGAACGCAGCGAAAUGCGAUAAGUAAUGUGAAUUGCAGAAUUCAGUGAAUCAUCGAAUCUUUGAACGCACAUUGCGCCCGCCAGCAUUCUGGCGGGCAUGCCUGUUCGAGCGUCAUUUCAACCCUCAAGCUCUGCUUGGUGUUGGGGCCCUACAGCUGAUGUAGGCCCUCAAAGGUAGUGGCGGACCCUCCCGGAGCCUCCUUUGCGUAGUAACUUUACGUCUCGCACUGGGAUCCGGAGGGACUCUUGCCGUAAAACCCCCAAUUUUCCAAAGGUUGACCUCGGAUCAGGUAGGAAUACCCGCUGAACUUAAGCAUAU